GACGGAGGGGGCUAGCGUUGUUCGGAAUGACUGGGCGUAAAGGGCGCGUAGGCGGUUUUUUAAGUGAGGCGUGAAAGCCCUGGGCUUAACCUAGGAGGUGCGUUUCAUACUGGAAGACUUGAGUACGAGAGAGGAAAGCGGAAUUCCUAGUGUAGAGGUGAAAUUCGUAGAUAUUAGGAAGAACACCAGUGGCGAAGGCGGCUUUCUGGCUCGUAACUGACGCUGAGGCGCGAAAGCGUGGGGAGCAAACAGG
RNAcentral lists this ribosomal RNA (253 nucleotides) under uncultured bacterium. Its description in RNAcentral is "partial 16S ribosomal RNA". It matches the Rfam family "Bacterial small subunit ribosomal RNA", at positions 524 to 776 of the family's 1533-position model. The record is from RNAcentral.